UAUUUACCGAAGAAAUGCCGCUUAAUUAGGAAGAGGAAGAGACGUCGCUUAUGGGACAAGCGUCAUCCAUGGAAAUAUCCUCUUCUCUCUCAUCUCUAUCUCUCUCCCAACUUCGUGAAAUCAGUUGGUUUCUCUUACCUCACUGACCGUCGUCACUAACGGAAGCAGCUUCGAUCCUCAUCUCGAUCCAUAUCCACUCGAGGAGAUUUCUCUUCCCACCGUGAUGUCGAAAGCUCGUUUCUACACCGACGUGAACGUGAUCCGUCCCAAAGACUAUUGGGAUUACGAGUCUCUUAAUGUUGAGUGGGGGGGAGCAAGAUGAUUACGAGGUAGUCAGUAAAGAUUCAAGCUUUCUUCUUUGUGUUUGCUCAUGGUUAUUGUUCACAACCGCCACAAAAGAUAUGUGCUCUCUUUGAUUGCCUCACACGAGAAGCUUUUUGUGUUUUUGGAGUUUCUUGACCUGUUCUUGAUUGGUUUCACUAGGUUUAGUAGAAUGUUAAUUACUUAGUUAAGCUUAUGAGUUAUGUUAAUCUUUAGUCUCAGGAGAGUGAUACGUCAGCGUUGGAAGCUAGGAACGGUAAAGACAUCCAAGGGAUCCCUUGGGAGAAGCUUAAUUACAGCCGAGAUCAAUACCGUCACUAGAGAUUGCAACAGUAUAAGAACUUUGAGAGCCUCUUUAGAUCCAGACAAGACCUUGACAAGGCUGCUUACUUUAACGACUCACAGAGGACAGCUACUAAAGAUGCUGGUCGUGAAAAGAGUAGUACCAUAGCUUCUGUUUCUUGUUCUUGUUUGUUGUUGUUAAGCAGAUGUAGUCACUUGAACCAUCGUUCUGAAUGCUUGCAUGUGGCUGAUUAUCACAUGUUCGAACUAUAUUGUUGGAUCCUUCUUGCUCUGGCUCUGGAACCAUUAUAGAUCGUCUGGACCAUCUCCUUCCUUCUCAUUCAGCAGGUCCAGAUUUCAAUUCCCGGAGAAAGUUAUUUAUUAAACAAUUAUGCAGGCUACGGAGGAAAAGCUUACAAUGUCAUCUUCAACAUGGUGCAAGUAAACUCAGUUAGACGUGGAUCUUCAUAGUGCAGCUCUGGUGAUGCAGUUAGAUAUAUAUUCUCAUAAGGCAAGUAGUAUUGUCGGUUGUCGAAUCAUCUAUGUAAUCUUACUCAUAAUUGUAAUAUCCUAAUAAAUCAAAGUUAAAAAAAAUCAAUAGA
RNA transcript from Brassica oleracea var. oleracea, 1205 nucleotides. RefSeq lists it as uncharacterized. The transcript is spliced from 4 exons. The record is from RefSeq and is a predicted model, not a curated record. NCBI's taxonomy places the organism in Eukaryota, Viridiplantae, Streptophyta, Magnoliopsida, Brassicales, Brassicaceae.